UUUCUAGAACAGUUGGAUCUGAACAACGAUGAUUUUGCCGAUGUGGAGAUCGAUGAGGAUGAUCCUGAGAUUCAAGAAAGCGUCCGCCGGCUUGCCCUGGCUAGGGUUCAGACUAGCAGGAACUUUAGCCCAUCAGCCUUCUACAAGGAUAUGAGGGCGGCAUGGAACCCUGCUCAGGAAGUAAGAUUUCGGCUAGUUGGCCCUAAUCGUUUCGUCAUCCAAGCAUCUUGUUUGGGGGACUGGGAGCGCAUGAUGAAGCAAGGGCCUUGGCUCUUCCGCAACAUGGCGGUGCUCUUGUGCCCGUAUGAUGGCUUCAGCAAGACAGAGGUGGUGGAAUUCUUUCACAUCCCCAUCUGGUUGCAGAUUCGCAAGCUACCAGACCCUUAUUGCAAACAAAACAUCAUGGAGAAGCUGCUGAAAGAUGCUGGAGAAAUUAUGGAGAUGCGUUUGAACGGAAACACCCGUGGUGACUAUGUUAGGGUUCGGGUGCGGCAUGAUAUCCGUAAGCCCCUCACAAAGUACGUCAGUGUUGUUCGCGCAAAGGAGCGCCAGGUUUACCUGGUUCGAUAUGAGAAACUUGCUAGGUUCUGUAAGUUUUGCGGACUGAUUGGUCAUGAUCACAAAGAGUGCGGCCUGGGCAUCCAUGAGGAGAAGGAUCUCAAGUUUGGAGACUGGAUCUAUGCAGAUGCUCCCAAUAAGCCUAGACCAGAAUAUCGGUCUACUACAGCAACAGGAUACGAGCCUAAGAAGGCCGAUGAUAAGGCGACAGGUAGAUCAGAACCGCAAUAUGCUCCAUAUGAUGCCGAAGUGAUGGACAUAGCAACGAGCCCGGUCAAGAAAACUAGUGACAAAACUGUUGGCGUUCUUGUUCCAAAGAGGAGGCUGUAUUUGGAGGAGGCCGGAAAGCCACUGGGAGAUGUUCCUGGUGUUGGGGAACGUUGCAGAAAAUAA
Molecule: ribosomal RNA, 951 nt
Filed under: Triticum aestivum (bread wheat)
Lineage: Eukaryota; Viridiplantae; Streptophyta; Magnoliopsida; Poales; Poaceae
Description: partial small subunit ribosomal RNA
Source: RNAcentral